Long non-coding RNA from Callithrix jacchus (white-tufted-ear marmoset), 7088 nucleotides. RefSeq lists it as uncharacterized. The record is from RefSeq and is a predicted model, not a curated record. Lineage: Eukaryota; Metazoa; Chordata; Mammalia; Primates; Cebidae.
CUCUCUGUAAGCAAAACACUAGAAAAGGGGCAGCUGGCAAGGCAAAAACAAAACACAACAGAACAAGAGUCUCUCUGCUCCAGCCUGACACUACAAAAAAGCUGUGGCCACACUCAUCCAUGCCUCAGAAACCCAACUGGCACCCUGAUUUCCAACCUCAGAAGGUAUCAAGAGGAUUUUCCUGUGUCUCCAGAGUGGCUUGGGAGCAGCUCAGCCGGAACUGACCCUUGAGCUAGAGCCACAGAAAGGAAGCAGCAUCAAUCACCAUGAGUUAACUACCAAGCGCUGCGGAGAUCAUGUGCAUCUCAGAAGACGCAACAGAAACAGGUGCAACCAGAGGAUCAGAGGCCCUUCUUCCUGGACCUUGGAACUGAUACAACCUUGAAAAAGGGUGAAGAAAGAACUGAACUGCCUGAGACGAGAUGACCUAGAAUCAAAUGAAAUCAAGUUUCUACCACUCAGCACAAUGGGGAUUUGAAAUAGAAAUACGUUCACUUAGGAAAAUAUAAAUGUGCGUUGCCGGAACCUGAUGGUGUGGCCGGAGAUUCCCAUCUGCUACAGUAACGCCGCUGGUGACAUUAUUAGUGCCCCCACUUAGUCAGCAUGCAGUAGCUGGCCGAACAGCUCCAGGUCACUUGCAGUAUUCUGGUGGGUCCUGCCUACACAAAGGUCAAACACCUCCUGCCUGGCCCUGCCUGGGGAGCAGUAUCUGGUUCAUCCUCCCCGCAUCGUCUGGGUUAAGAACAGUUGAUUUACAGUCCAGGGCCCCGGUAGGAAACAGAUGGAAGACACGAGUUGGGCAAAUCAGAAGAAAAAUUAACAAAUAAGACUCUGUAAAGGGACGUGGAGGUCAACACCAAGGACUGCUGAUAGCAGGACACUGUUCCCUUUUCCCAGGCUGCAGGGACUGGGGCCUGCAGAGCACAUGAGAACACAGAGACAGGGAGGGCUGUGCUUAGGAGGCCACCAGAAAGGAACCAGGACUGCCGGUAAAGGAUGCGGCCAGCCUGCAGCAACAGCAUGGUGCAGGGAGCAAGCAUGCCAGGCAAAUCAAUGCACUGACUUCACUUUUCUCCCUUUGAUGUGCAGAAAGCAGAGCAGGAGGAGAAGGUGGAUAGUACCUACUACAAUUCAUUCUGUUUUCUUCUUUAGGAUGGACAACUCGAUCCUAUGGUUUCACUGUGUCCGACCUCCUGUGCCCUGUUGUUAAGUACUGAAUACCAGGAACUCAGCUAUGUAGAAGUUCUGGAAAGGAGUGGAUGCAGGUGACAGGGUAUAAUUCAUUUGGUUUUCCCGCUUCCUACUCUUUCUUGCUGCUUAGGAUGUGGAUGUGAUAAGUGGAGCACCAGCAGCUGUCUUGGGUCAAAAAGUCACCUUGACUUUGAGUUAUGUCAGCUAAACAGAAAAAUAGAAGCAGUUUGGGUCCUUUGCAUCAUUAAAGGUAUCCCACCAGCCUCAGACUGGCUGACUUCAAAUUGCUUUAUGAACAGAGAGAGGUGCCUUUUAUGUCAUUCAAGCCACUUUCUAGCCCUAAUGAAUGGGCCUUCACAUAUAAAUUGCACCUGUGGGGCUCUGGGCACACAGCACAUCCCAGAUCCUCCUCACCCUCCCGCCCUCACUCACCACACUCCGUCUGUGCCACCCCCGCCCAGCCUUACUCCUGUACGUGCUGCGCCAUCUCUGUUCUCCACCGUUUUCUUUACUCCAAGAUUUUAUUUUAUUUUCCUUCUUCUAGUUCAGUGAAACACUUUUCUAAUGUAGCAGCUAUUAGGCGAAAAAAGUCUCUUUAUUUUGCAACUCUCUUGGUUUCCAUGUGGGGUGGAAAAAGCACAACCUCAGAGACAUGCAGGAAAAAGAGGCCAGAAAAACAGGGGAAACUCAAGUGUUUCUCAUGCCGAGGUGAUAAAAAUUUGCAAAUUGAGAAUCACAGUUAGAAAGAGCAUAAAAGUAAAAUGGAGCUAAAGAAAGAGAACUAAGCAACUGGUGACAAGGAAGGCUGACGGAAAAUCUCCAGUGGGGUCAUGGCAGGAUGGCCGUGUUUUUUAAGGCUGAAUAACACUCGCGUAUAUAUGGAAUUUUAUAUAUAUAUGUGUGUGUGUGUAUGUGUAAUUUGAGUCAUUCAAGGCAUUCAAGGCUUCCCACCAAUCUCAGAUGCCUGACUUUAAAUUGCUUUAUGAGGCUAGGUGCAGUGGGUCACGCCUGUCAUCCCAACACUUUGGGAGGCCGAGGUAGGUGGAUCAUUUGAGGUCACAAGUUUGAGACAAGCCUGGCCAACAUGGUUAAACCCCGUCUCUACUGAAAAUAUAAAAAUUAGCUGGGUAUGGUGGCGUACACCUGUAAUCCCAGCUACUUGGGAGGCUGAGGCAGGAGAAUUGCUUGAACUUGGGAGGUGGAGGUUGCAAAAGCUGAGACCGUGCCACUACACUUUCUCUGUCCGGGUGACAGAGCGAGACUCCAUCUCAAAAAAAAACAAUAAACAAAAAUUUUAAAAAAUAUUGCUUUAUGAACAGAGAGAGAUAACUUUUAUCUUAUUCAAGCCAUUGACUCUAAUUUUAACUGAUAGACUUUCACAUAUAAAUUGCCAUGUAACAUAUUAUGUGUGUAUAUACACACAUAUAUAUACACACACAUGCCCAUAUAUAUACACACAUCUAUAUGUACACAUACACACACAUGCAAUAAUUAUCUCUAUUGGUCCAUCUGUCCAUUGACAUUUAGAUUGAAUUUGUGUCUUGGUUAUUGAGAACAAAGCUUCAAUGGACAUGAGAGAUGCUGAUUUUAUUUUUAAGGGGAUAAGUACUCAUUAGUGGGAUUGCUGGAUUCUAUGGGAAUAAGAGAGUAGAAUGGUGGUUUCCAGGGGCAGGUAGGCAGUGAGAUACAGAAAAACAUUUGUCAAAGAGUACAAGGUCUCAGCUCUGGACAUCUGACAUACGGCAAGGUGACUGUGGUUGAUAACAACAUAUUGUAUACUUGAAAUUCGCAAGAGUAGAUGUUAAGUGUUAGUACUACUAGCACAUAAAAAUGAUAACUUUGCCAGGUGAUGUGAAUGAGCUUGACGGUGGCGAUGGUUUCACAAUGUUUGCAUCUAUCCAAAUACCAUAUUGCACACCUUAAAUAGAUACAGCUUUAAUUUGUCAAUUAUACCUCAAUAAAGCUUAAAAAACUGUUAAAAAAAAAUAAAGACACGAGGUUAAAGUUGAGGCCAAUAAGAAGAGAAUGAGCCACGUGGGAAAGAAAUGAUCGUGUUCCCUGAAGGUGACUGCAGAGGAGCAAAGUGAAUAUUCUAGGGGAGGUUUCCCUGCUGUGAAUAGAGCCACGUGCUAAAGGUGCCUUUUCAUUGUUUAUGCUUGUUUCAUCCUGUUUUUAGAAAAGAUUAAAUUUAUACACAAAUAAUUUAAUUUAUGUUCUAGGCUUAGGAAAUUAACAAGCAAAAUUCUCACAGUGAAGGUUAAUUCCACAUUCACUCAGUGAUGUGGGUGGCAGUUGAGACAGGACUCGGUGCCACGUGGGAGAGUCUCUGAAAGUCGUUAACAGACUUGGAUUCUGACUCUGUUAUUUCCGGAGCUCAUCAAAGCACAGUGAGGCCAGGGAAGUGAAGUGAAAUUACCUUUUCUUUCCUCCGAAGAUCAUGUAAUUGACAUAAACCAUCUGAACCCAAAAGCCAGCAAAGUGUUCUCUUUCUUAAUAACUUCUCAGAAAGGCCCAGCAGCCAGGGCCUCUGCACAGCCAUUAUCCCAGGAACUGUGGGCUCCUGAAGAGCACGUGGGUGUAGCCCAGGGAGGUGAGAGCAGAGUGGGCAGCCAGGAGGGGCCGCUGAGAGGCUUUUUCUAUCUUAUUUCCAUUUUGCGAUAGACAUAGAAAUCCUUGUGCUGUUCCACAUGACUCCAGAGCGCUUCCACUAAAGUCCUGACCCUCUGAUUUGGAUCUUUGUCACGGGAUAUGUUUCCUACCUGCAGUGUUAGCCACGAUGCUGUGAACACAGCUCUGAAUGUACUUUGUGUGUGUGACUAGCCUUCGUGUCCGUCUGCCAGCCGCCAUGAGGAAAACAUGCCUCCAUAUCUGCUGCUCCAAGGACGAGAAGCAACAGGAGUUGUGUGCAAGAGAUCUGACCCUCACAGCCACCGCCAACACACAGGCCCUCCACCAAAACAUACAUGCUCGUGGUGGGAAGUCACUGGGAUUUGGAGACUGCUUCAUCUGUAGCAUUAUGGUAGCAAUAGCUGCCCAGCAGAGCUUCUGCCUUGUCAAGUAAACACUUAAAAUGUCAUGUUUAAAGCUGUGGAUUAUUACGUGUGUGCAUUCACCCAGGCAAUACUAACGCCUUUCUGUAAAAAGUGUUAGGUGCUUGGUACCGUGCCAGCCAUGGUAAGUACUCAACUGUUGUAGCUAUUGCUAAAUGGAAUGCUCCCACUAAUUUCACCAACCCUUAGUGUUCAAUGUUUAGGAUUUUCCCAUAUUUUAAUUCUUUACAACAGCUGUUAUAAUCUCCUGUUUGGAAAUGCCAUUGGACAUAAUCUUAUUAUUUCCUUGGGAUAAAAUCUUAUAAGAAAGAUUAUUCAAAGAGAAUCAUCUCUGUUAAAGGUGCCUUAUUUUUUGAAACUUCUGUGGAGAGGGUGAUAUCUAGCAAUUCUCCCGUGUGAUGGAUGAAGAGGCAGGAGCUAGGAAUAGCUCAGCAUUGUGAAUGGCCCAAAAAUCUGUGAGCAGAGAAAAAUAAAUGUCCCACACAAAUGUACACUGGGCGUCAUUCCGAUUCCCAUUUUAAUUGUUGGAGAAUUGUAGACCGAGCUAAUGCAGUGAAAGAAACCCAUGAGUUCUCCACAUCUGUGUACCAGAAGUGCAGAGGGGUCCCGGUCCCUUCUCCCGAGUGGGUUACUCUGGAGAGUUCCACCUGAGCCAUCGCUUUCUGAGACUCACUCGAGUUUGUGUGUACAAGUAUUAGUACCAAUUUAUUUCUUAACCAAUAAAAAUACUGGUAACAGAUUUUUAACUAAGACAAUACCAUUCAAUCAGUAUUAGACGCCGCCAUAAUCAUGUGUGUCCAUUCUGACCAUUCUCUGUAAUUGUUAAAAUGCAAAGGGAGGUGGAAAUAUUUAUAUUCGUGGAGUCUUUGGAUUGAGCACUAUGUCAGUAACUGAAACUAGCAUUCUGAGAAUUAAAAAAGGAUCAUAUAGAAAGGGAAGCAUAGUUCCUAAGGUAGUAAAGUUACUUGGAACUCGGACUGGUGACAUUGUUUUGUUUGAAAGAUUUGUUUAUAGAUAAAAAAGGAAAUGUUGGCUUUCAGUUCAUCACAUUUCAGGGAACAAUGGAUUCUUCUUUCAAAGUGAAAUGUCAUCUGUUUUUCUACAGAAGAGAAGCUGCUGCAGCUGAGCUGGGAAAUUAACUGCUAAAAUAGCCAGAGAGAGAGAACUACUGAUAACAGGGACAGAUUGGCUGUUCUAAUCCACCCAUUCCUAUUUAUUUCCGUGCAACUGCGGAUGGGGUUUCAGCUCAGUCUUGCAUCCCCCUUUUCUUACCCUUUUGCUGAUACAUAACUGCAGGUCCUCAGUGUGCACUCAAGACCAGUGGUUGGGGAGUUGAUUUCUGAAUAGAAAAGGCUAUAACCUGGGAACAUUUCCAAAUUCACAAUUUCAUUAUAUAAUUUGUUCUUUUAAUUUGUUUCCAGACACUCAAGAUACGGCUUCACUCAGUUCAUAUUUUAUGGGAUGAUUUCCCUUUUUGUUCGUUCUUUAACUUAUUAAUUCAGCAAAUAUGUGUUAAGCAUCUUCUGUGUCCUGGUGGUUGAGGGGUAAUAAAAGACCGGGCCCUGGCCUCAGGGGGCUUAUAGUCUAAAUGAGGAGGCUGACAGUAAAAUAGGAGAGAGUAUGUAUAACACAACUUCUGGAAGUAUCAAGUGUGACCAUUUUUUUUAUUUUAUUUUUUUUAAAUUUUUUUUCAGGUUUUCCUUUCUUUUAUUUUAUUUUAUUUUUUUAUUGCAUUUUAGGUUUUGGGGUACAUGUGCAGAACAUGCAAGACAGUUGCAUAGGUACAGAAACUGGACCCCUUCCUGACAUCUUACACUAAAAUUAACUCCAGAUGGAUUAAAGACUUAAACAUAAGACCUGGCACCAUAAAAACCCUAGAAGAAAAUCUAGGCAAAACCAUUCAGGACAUAGGAGUAGGCAAGGACUUCAUGAACAAAACACCAAAAGCAUUGGCAACAAAAGUGUGACCAUUUUAAAAUAAAUCAAUCAAGGUGAAAGGACCAAGGAUAUCUGGGAAAGUUGGGUUGUUUUAGACAAAGCACCAAGGAAAGUCCCUCUGGGAAGUCAUAUUUAAAUAGAGACCCGAGUGAAGCAAAGAGAGAGCCACACGGAGAUCAGAGGAAACAGCAUUUCCGGCAGAGGACACAGUGAAUGCAAAGGCCUGGUGGUGUGAAUGAGCUCAGUGCAUUCAGAGAACAGCAGGCAGGCCAGAUUCACUGGAAUGUAAGGCCAGGAAGACCUCCAGGACCAGAAAAAGGACCUUGAAGACAGGUUUGGAUUUUAUUCAAAGUCCGAAGGAAGCUUUAGGGAAAUACAGUGAUGUGACCAUGUUAGAAACAUCACUGGGGAUUGGAGGCACUAUUUUUUUUAUUUUAGUAGAGGUGGGGUGUCACCAUGUUGGCCAGGCUGGUUUCGAACUCCUGAACUCAGGUGAUCCAUCCAUCUCAGCCUCCCAAAGUGCUGGGAUUACCGGCGUGAGCCACCAUGCCUGGCCUGGCACUGUCUGUUAAGCAUCUUCUGUGCCCUGGUGGUUGCAGGGGGAGAUAAAAGACCAGGUCCUGGCCUCAUGGGGCUUGUAGUCUAAAUGAGAAGGCUGACAGUAAAUGAGAAGAAAGAAACUAGAGUAUAAUUUCUAGAAGUGUCAAGUGUGAGAAUUUUUAAAAUAAAGCAAUCUAUGUGUGAGAACAAAGGAUAGUCACAUAGCAAAACUCCCUGCAGAUGACCGAAACCAGAUUCAUCAUGUGCAAUAAUGUCAUAUUUUUAAAAAAACAAUCAGCUUAAUUUCUGGAUGGAGAACUUGGCCUUGACCAUUUUUAUAAAAUGUGUAAAUUUUUUUUUAAAUGUAAA